RNAcentral lists this long non-coding RNA (336 nucleotides) under Brassica napus (rape). RNAcentral describes it as "long non-coding RNA (BNAP_LNC010212)". The record is from RNAcentral. Lineage: Eukaryota; Viridiplantae; Streptophyta; Magnoliopsida; Brassicales; Brassicaceae.
GCGUGGGAAUUUGAUAUGUUCGAAUUAUAUAUGAGACAAAAUGUCGUUCUCGUUUGACAAGACCUGACAGGUGUAUCUAAGCUGGAUAUGCCUACUAUAGCUCUGCAGCCUAUAUACACAAGCUGAGUAAUUGCGCUUUUGCAUCUCUCUCCAAGUACCUAAUUAUCUUUUGUUUUGCAUGAACUCCUAAUUGACCUCUCUUUCGUGUAUUUCCAGCCAAAUUUUUUUUUUGAAACUUAUUUCCAGCCAAAUUGGCCAUUUUAAAACCCUAUAACAUUAAUAAAAUUCACAAGAGUUAUAGAAACAUAAUUUUAGUGAACUACCUAACAUAUAUCA